This is a non-coding RNA of Heterocephalus glaber (naked mole-rat), 694 nucleotides long. Lineage: Eukaryota; Metazoa; Chordata; Mammalia; Rodentia; Bathyergidae. The record is from RefSeq and is a predicted model, not a curated record.
GUGAGGUGGACGCACUGCCCAUCCCAACUGCACCGCCCCGUACACUGAGCCAAGGAUGGCAGGUGUGGGCUCUGGGGUCGGACAGAAUUGCACCAUUGGAUCUGGCCUUCCAGAGCGAGGCUAUGCGGACUCCCCUCACCCUACCGCUGUCCUGUGGCGCUGGCUAGGGGCACCAUGGUUGCACCAGAUCCUGCAAAUGCUAGGGUGAAGGGAAAAAACAUCAUCUACAAAUGAAAACAAGACUCAUAAUUCCAAGAAAAGAACUCAAUUAAAACCAGAAUUGAACAAUCAGCAAACUAUUUCAAGACUGAAGUAAACAAUUUACAUACAAAAAGAAACAGUUCACCAACAAAUUUUCACUAAAAGGACCUCUGGAGUAGUGUAUAUUAGACUGUUGUGACAGACCCAAAAUGAAAUGGCUCCAGCGUUAAAGAGUUCUUUCUAACAACCUAGCACGGAUAUUGAGAUCUGAUAGCUACUGUCCUCAGUAAGGAAAUCACAAGUCACAAAAAGGAGACAGAGAUAAACUGAACAUCACCAAACUUGAAAACUCUUAUUGUGUUUCAAAGGACACCAUAAAGAUAGUGAAAGAGUGAGAAAAAAUGUUGUAUUGUAUCUGAUACAGGUCUCAUGUCUAGAAUAUAUAAGAACUUUUACAAGUCAGUAAUAAAAAGCAAGUAAUGGAUUGAACAGA